This 253-nucleotide ribosomal RNA is filed under the name uncultured bacterium. RNAcentral's name for it is "partial 16S ribosomal RNA". It matches the Rfam family "Bacterial small subunit ribosomal RNA", at positions 524 to 776 of the family's 1533-position model. The record is from RNAcentral.
UACGUAGGGUGCAAGCGUUGUCCGGAAUCAUUGGGCGUAAAGCGCGCGUAGGUGGUCAUGUAAGUCCGCUGUGAAAGUCAAGGGCUCAACCUUUGAAAGCCGGUGGAUACUGCAUGACUAGAGUACGGAAGAGGCGAGUGGAAUUCCUGGUGUAGCGGUGGAAUGCGCAGAUAUCAGGAGGAACACCAAUAGCGAAGGCAGCUCGCUGGGACGUUACUGACACUGAGGCGCGAAAGCCAGGGUAGCAAACGGG